This 450-nucleotide ribosomal RNA is filed under the name uncultured bacterium. RNAcentral's name for it is "bacterial SSU rRNA". It matches the Rfam family "Bacterial small subunit ribosomal RNA", at positions 354 to 796 of the family's 1533-position model. The record is from RNAcentral.
GUGGGGAAUAUUGGACAAUGGGCGCAAGCCUGAUCCAGCAAUGCCGCGUGGGUGAAGAAGGCCUUCGGGUUGUAAAGCCCUUUUGUACGGAAAGAAAUCCUGGUGGUUAAUACCCGCCGGGGAUGACGGUACCGUAAGAAUAAGCACCGGCUAACUUCGUGCCAGCAGCCGCGGUAAUACGAAGGGCGCAAGCGUUAAUCGGAAUUACUGGGCGUAAAGCGUGCGUAGGUGGUUUCUUAAGUCUGUCGUGAAAGCCCUGGGCUCAACCUGGGAAUGGCGAUGGAGACUGGGAGGCUAGAGUGCGGUAGAGGAUGGCGGAAUUCCCGGUGUAGCGGUGAAAUGCGUAGAGAUCGGGAGGAACAUCUGUGGCGAAGGCGGCCAUCUGGACCAGCACUGACACUGAGGCACGAAAGCGUGGGGAGCAAACAGGAUUAGAUACCCUAGUAGUCC